This 254-nucleotide ribosomal RNA is filed under the name uncultured bacterium. RNAcentral's name for it is "partial small subunit ribosomal RNA". It matches the Rfam family "Bacterial small subunit ribosomal RNA", at positions 26 to 285 of the family's 1533-position model. The record is from RNAcentral.
AGGACGAACGCUGGCGGCGUGCUUAACACAUGCAAGUCGAGCGGAAAGGCCCUUCGGGGUACUCGAGCGGCGAACGGGUGAGUAACACGUGAGCAAUCUGCCCUUAGCUUCGGGAUAGCUCCGGGAAACCGGAAUUAAUACCGAAUACUACUACGGCCGACAUCGGCCGUGGUGGAAAGUUUUUCGGCCAGGGAUGGGCUCGCGGCCUAUCAGCUUGUUGGCAGGGUAAUGGCCUACCAAGGCGACGACGGGUA